Pongo pygmaeus (Bornean orangutan) is the source of this 2360-nucleotide long non-coding RNA. RefSeq lists it as uncharacterized. NCBI's taxonomy places the organism in Eukaryota, Metazoa, Chordata, Mammalia, Primates, Hominidae. The transcript is spliced from 3 exons. The record is from RefSeq and is a predicted model, not a curated record.
GGCAUAAAUUAAGCAACAAUGGCCACGCGAGGUCUCGUCCGCCGCGGAGCUCCAGUGGUGGGCACUGCCACCUUGCCAUCCCUAGUCCCCACCGCCCUUCGCAGAGUCGAGUCCGGGAGGCUGACGGUUUUCUGGGUUUGCCAGCGCAUCGCUGCAACUAAUGAUUAAAGAAACCAAACCGAAACUUACCUUUCUCCCUUAAGGUUUUUGUGUAUGUGUGUUUUUAAAGUAACGGUGCAGUUCUCCCAAUAAGGAUGAGCAAGAAGCUGCUGGAUAGUUCUCUUAAGACAGCACGAAACCUAAACUGUGCUCGGCUUAAAAGAAGCAAAUAAAAAGAAACGCUUUCGACCCCAAAGUCCAAUGCUAAAAGAAAUGGCGAAAAAAAAAAUAUGAAAGGGGAGGGGAAACUUAAAAAAGAGUUUAAAAAGACGGAGAGACUACCCUCCUAUUGCCGUUCAACUAAACAAAAAGGGGCAAGAAAAACAAACCAAGGAACAAAGAAAAGAGACGAAAGAACGUUUUUUCAAAAAGACGAUGUCUUUCUCCUUGUUGCUUUUUAGUAGGUCGCUACAGGAGUAAGCUGCUGCAUCUCUAACUGAGAACAGAAAUAGGGGGGAGGACGUCUUAAAAGGGAGGUGGACUGGACCACAGAUUUAUAGCACCGUAUCACCAACCCCUUCUCUGCCUCCGCACUGCCGUGUGUGCAGCUGCUCUGCCAGGCUCCUAUCCCGGGCAGCACGCGCGGAAGUAUACGCCGAAUCGCGCCACAACGUAACUUGCUCAUCGCCCCAGGAUCCUGAUUGGUCCAGACGCUUCCAUUGAGUCCGCCCAGGCGGUGCCGCGUGAGACGAUUGGCUAUGGGCUUGUGUCACUCUCGAGAGCUCAAUGGAGUCCCGUUUCAAGAUCUGGGUGAAACUCAUAGCAAGAAGAAAGAAAAGCACUUUGAAGAAAUGGAGUCAAGGGAGAAAAGACAGAAAGACUCCACCCCAUCUAGACUAGAUGUAUGAAUAACAGAAGAUUGGGUUUGUAGUCAUCUUCCUUCAACUCCUCCCCUUGUCCCCAGCUCCAUACAGAGAAAUAACCUUUAAAUGAACACAAUUUGGGGAAAGUAUAAUACUGUUUGAUUUCAUCAGACUUACCUAUGAAGUGAAUUGUCUUUCCUCCUUGUUACCAUGCUCUUAGGUUAAUAUUGAAUUAGUUGCAUAUGCCCAUAUAAUUUCAGUACAUUGAAGUAAAUCUUUACCAUUAUAAUUAUAUAAGUGCCUUCUAACUAGGUGGAAACUAAUACUUUUUUUUUUUGGUGCAUGUUUAUAUCCACAAAAAAGAUUUGUAGAUAACUGUGAUAUCUAUCUGUAGGUAACCCAAAAUGAUAGGGACAGGUGUGAAAAGCUGGGAGUGAUAUGGAGUAAUAAAAAUCUAGCAUGUGUAUUAGGUAAAUAAAUUACAUGGAAAAUAGUAAACUUGUUCAUUCAAAUGAAAAAUGCUAAAUUCUGUAGAUUCAGUAUUUAUGGUUUUUUUCAGCUUGGGCAGAGUGAAAAAAUAUUAUUCAAAAUAUUGUCAUCCCUAACAUGUUGUCUUUUUAUGUAGGCAAAAUGGACUUAAAUUAUUUAAAAAGUGAAAGUAUCUUAAAAUACUAUUUUACUUCCUCAUUAAAACAGAUGUUUUUACAUUUUAAAACUUUUAAAUGGAUAGACGUAUUAUAAGCAACAUGUACUUUUUCAACUUUUAAAAAUAAAAAAUAUUGAUUAUAGCCUCUUUAAAACAAGUGAUAUCUGGAUGUAGAUUUCACUUUGAAAUUCAUGUCUCAUAGCUUGAAACAUUAACAACUACAUACCAUCCUAUGAUUAAUUAAUAAAGGCUAUGUGCAAACAUCUCACUUAAGAAUAAGCAAAAAAUGCAAUCAACCCCUUUUCACUCACAGUUUGGUAAAAGAAUUAUCCACAACAUCUGAAUUUGCAUUAGAAAGUAUUUAAAAGACAUUUGAAUAUGAUUAAGUUAUAUGAACUCUGACAUAUCUUCCAAGUUCCUGACAUUAUUUUGAAUUGCAGCAGAAAAGAGAGAGAUGAAGAGAAUGACUGCGAACUUGCAGCAAAAGUGUGAGGUGGAUAAAGUUGCAAAAGAAUAGUUCUCAAAACCGAAAAAGUAAUGAAUGUAAUUGAUUAUUUUACUGAAGUUUCUAUAUAAGAGAACAUUUAUUCUCAAGAAUAUGCAAAACUGUUGUGGAAAAUGUCUUUUAGGAUAAAUAACUCCUUUACACUACAGGUCUUGGGGGCAAGGGAAGGAGUGAUUUUACAUUUUAUAAUAAAAGUUGCUGUAAACUACUUGUAACGUUUUUUAAGUAAAUAAAGAAGUUAAACUAU